UUAAGUCAGGCAACAAGCGAGACCCCUGCUUCUAGUUGCUACUUUCAUUCUUCGGAGUGGAAGGGCUAAUUAGAAGGACUGCCGCCGCUAAGGCGGAGGAAGGAGGGGGCUACGGCAGGUCAGUAUGCCCCGAAACCCUGGGGCUACACGCGGGCUGCAAUGAUAGGGACAACGGGUUCCGAACUCGAAAGAGGGAGGCAAUCCUUAAACUCUAUCUCAGUUAUGAUUGAGGGCUGCAACUCGCCCUCAUGAAUAUGGAAUCCCUAGUAACCGCGCGUCAUAACCGCGCAGUGAAUACGUCCCUGCUCCUUGCACA
Molecule: ribosomal RNA, 316 nt
Filed under: uncultured archaeon
Lineage: Archaea
Description: bacterial SSU rRNA
Rfam family: Archaeal small subunit ribosomal RNA
Source: RNAcentral